RNAcentral lists this ribosomal RNA (913 nucleotides) under uncultured bacterium. RNAcentral describes it as "bacterial SSU rRNA". It matches the Rfam family "Bacterial small subunit ribosomal RNA", at positions 8 to 916 of the family's 1533-position model. The record is from RNAcentral.
AGAGUUUGAUUCUGGCUCAGAACGAACGCUAGCGGCAGGCCUAACACAUGCAAGUCGAGGGGCAGCGGGGAUAAGCUUGCUUAUCCGCCGGCGACCGGCGCACGGGUGCGCAACGCGUAUAGAAUCUGCCCUGUACUGGGGAAUAGCCCAGAGAAAUUUGGAUUAAUGCCCCAUGGUAUGUUUAAGCGGCAUCGCUUUUACAUUAAAGGCUACGGUACAGGAUGACUAUGCGUCCCAUUAGUUAGUUGGUAAGGUAACGGCUUACCGAGGCAGCGAUGGGUAGGGGCCCUGAGAGGGGGAUCCCCCACACUGGUACUGAGACACGGACCAGACUCCUACGGGAGGCAGCAGUGAGGAAUAUUGGACAAUGGGCGGGAGCCUGAUCCAGCCAUGCCGCGUGCAGGAAGACGGUCCUAUGGAUUGUAAACUGCUUUUGUACGGGAAGAACAAGGGGCACGUGUGCCCUUCUGACGGUACCGUAAGAAUAAGGAUCGGCUAACUCCGUGCCAGCAGCCGCGGUAAUACGGAGGAUCCGAGCGUUAUCCGGAAUCAUUGGGUUUAAAGGGUCCGUAGGCGGGCCAUUAAGUCAGGGGUGAAAGUCUGCGGCUCAACCGUAGAAUUGCCCUUGAUACUGGUGGUCUUGAGUUAUGGUGAAGUAACUAGAAUAUGUAGUGUAGCGGUGAAAUGCAUAGAUAUUACAUAGAAUACCGAUUGCGAAGGCAGGUUACUAACCAUAUACUGACGCUGAUGGACGAAAGCGUGGGGAGCGAACAGGAUUAGAUACCCUGGUAGUCCACGCCGUAAACGAUGGAUACUAGCUGUCCGGAUGCAAAUCUGGGCGGCCAAGCGAAAGUGAUAAGUAUCCCACCUGGGGGAGUACGUCCGCAAGGAUGAAACUCAAAUGAAUUGACGG